GGCGAAGUUGUUGGUCGCCGGCUGCGGGACCGUUCCUUGACACGGAAGAGGUCACUGGUUCGAUCCCAGUAUCGCCC
This 77-nucleotide transfer RNA is filed under the name Actinoplanes lobatus. RNAcentral describes it as "tRNA-Val". The record is from RNAcentral. Lineage: Bacteria; Bacillati; Actinomycetota; Actinomycetes; Micromonosporales; Micromonosporaceae.